RNAcentral lists this transfer RNA (68 nucleotides) under Monema flavescens. RNAcentral describes it as "tRNA-His". RNAcentral also lists the same sequence under 1 other name. The record is from RNAcentral. Lineage: Eukaryota; Metazoa; Arthropoda; Insecta; Lepidoptera; Limacodidae.
AUUUAAAUAAUUUAAAAAAAAUAUUGAUUUGUGGUAUCAAAAAUAUGAUUAUUAUAUCAUUUUAAAUU